AUAAGAAUUGGGGGAAAAUCCUAUAAAAGUUUGGGGGUGAUCCUAUAAAAAUUGGGGAAAAAUCCUAUAAAAUAUUGGGGAAACCCUAAAAAAGUUUUUGGGAAAAUUCUGUAAAAAUUGGGGGAUGAUUCUAUAAAGUUUGGGGGAAAUCCUAUAAAAGUUUGGGGAAGAUCCUAUAAAAAUUGGGAGAAAAUCCCAAAAAGGUUUGGCAGAAAUCCUAUAAAAAUUGGGGGAAAAUCCUAUAAAUUUUUGGGGGUGAUCCUACAAAUAUUGGGGAAAAAUCCUAUAAAAUAUUGGGGAAAACCUAUGAAAGUUUUGGGGAAAAUUCUAUAAAAAUUGGGGGAAGAUCCUAUAAAAUAUUGGGGAAACCCUAUAAAAGUUUUGGGG
RNAcentral lists this long non-coding RNA (387 nucleotides) under Anas platyrhynchos platyrhynchos (common mallard). Its description in RNAcentral is "lncRNA (ENSAPLG00000023729.1)". The record is from RNAcentral. Lineage: Eukaryota; Metazoa; Chordata; Aves; Anseriformes; Anatidae.